This 111-nucleotide non-coding RNA is filed under the name Bacillus sp. (in: firmicutes). Its description in RNAcentral is "Bacillus sp. SAM-I sequence". It matches the Rfam family "SAM riboswitch aptamer (S box leader)". From Rfam's summary of the family: The SAM riboswitch is found upstream of a number of genes which code for proteins involved in methionine or cysteine biosynthesis in Gram-positive bacteria. Lineage: Bacteria; Bacillati; Bacillota; Bacilli; Caryophanales; Bacillaceae. The record is from RNAcentral.
CUCUUAUCAAGAGCGGCGGAGGGAAUAGGCCCUGCGAUGCCCGGCAACCUUCAGUUUUUCUGAAAAGGUGCUAAUUCCUACAGGUCAUGAUUAUGGCUUGGAAGAUAAGGG